CUUUGCACCCAGGUGAGUGGAGCCAGACUGGGCCCAGCCCUCGUGUCGGAAAUUGAGAGGCAGGACAGAAAGUAUAAGAGGCAGGGCCUCCAGUUCAGUUGAAGGGGAGCCAGGGAAGGAGACAGAUGCCUCUUGCCUGUCAGGCCCUGUGACUGAGCUGAAUAGCGUCCUGCCCCCAGAGGAGACCAAGUCCGGAGAGGAGCUGCCAAGGUUGCUGGCGGCCAAAUAACUAGAGGAGACUGAGGCUGAAGAGGAGCUGCUCAGAUUGCCGGUGGCUGAAUACCCCGAGGAGAUGGAGGACCCCAUGACUCUGGAGUCCCUUCCCUGAUCAUGCUCGAAAAACGUGACACAGAGUACUAAAGAGCCCCAGUCAUACGGUGACCCUGCUUAAAUGAACAGACGCAUCGCUGAAUAGCUUUCACUGCAGUGGCUCUGGCUUCCCUGCUGAUUGGGCCGACAGCUCAAUCCUCAAGAAGGUCAAGUAAAAUGGAACUCAAGUCAUUAUGUUCCACUGAAGCAAUUACACGCUGCUGACUCAGGGGCAUUGAUAAUCAGCCGUCUGGGUGCUGAUAGCCGUUGGUAGUGGCUGAGGGAAGGAUGGAGGGAGUUGCAACUCCAAUUUGUUCCAGUCUUAGCCUGUUUCAAUAAGUGCCUCUCUAAUGCUGUUAUACGAGGAUGAAAUAUGCCUCAUAAUGCUUUGCAGGUGAUACGAAGCAGCGAUGGAUUUCCACAGGAGUGUGGGGAAAAUAAUCUCAGAUUCUAGAUAACCACAUAUUAAUGCGGCACUGAAAACAGACAAUACUGUGAAGCAAAGCUCCUGGGACUGAGGGAGAUGUGAGGUGUUCUCCUUACAGAGGUGAGACCAGAUGUAUGCACACACCAAUUUGGGGGACAGGAAAUCGGAGCCUGUUACAGCUAGAAAAGUUUGAAUAAAGCAAACUGUAUUUAAAUUAAAAAAGCAAUAACUUACCAGCUCCCUGUGGAGUUUCCCCUUCUCUCUUCCUAUCACCUAGGUCCCUGUGUGACUUUGCUGAAAUUUCUCAGUGGUCAUGUUUUCCCUCAGACUCAUUUUCUCUACUUAUCAACCUUAUGAAAAAAUAUUUUUUUCUGUAAAAAUCCUACUUAUCUCCCACACACUCUCCCACACUGUCUCAGUCUCUCUCUCACACACACACACACACCCCUCCUUCGUUAAUCUCUCCUUUCUCUGUCCUCAGCUCCAUUUUUACCACCUUUGUUUCUCUUUUCAUUUUCCCAAGCAAUGGCGAUGCUCUCCACCAACUCCCUUCAGCUCACGCUGUGCUCCCUUCUCUCAGCUCCUUCCUACCUCUCUCCCCUCUGCACUCCCCAUGUUCCCUCAAUGCCCCCAUGCUUCCCUUCCAGCCCCUCAGCCCCUGGUG
This is a long non-coding RNA of Chelonoidis abingdonii (Abingdon island giant tortoise), 1400 nucleotides long. RefSeq lists it as uncharacterized. The record is from RefSeq and is a predicted model, not a curated record. NCBI's taxonomy places the organism in Eukaryota, Metazoa, Chordata, Testudines, Testudinidae.